UUGCCUGCCAGCAGACCGUGUAUGAGACGCUGGCCAAACCUCUGCUACUGAGGGCCUUUGAAGGAUUUAACACCUGCUUGUUUGCCUAUGGCCAGACAGGUUCUGGUAAAUCAUACACGAUGAUGGGUUUUGAGGAGGAGGUAGGGGUGAUCCCAAAAUUCUGCCACGAGCUUUUUUCUAAACUGGCCUCAAUAAAAAGUGAAGAGGUCAAAUGUCAUGUAGAGAUGAGCUACUUUGAAGUGUACAAUGAGAAGAUCCAUGACCUGCUGGUGACCAGAGAAGAACCAAA
Neolamprologus brichardi is the source of this 289-nucleotide non-coding RNA. NCBI's taxonomy places the organism in Eukaryota, Metazoa, Chordata, Actinopteri, Cichliformes, Cichlidae. The record is from RefSeq and is a predicted model, not a curated record.